RNAcentral lists this long non-coding RNA (2264 nucleotides) under Mytilus galloprovincialis (Mediterranean mussel). Lineage: Eukaryota; Metazoa; Mollusca; Bivalvia; Mytilida; Mytilidae. The record is from RNAcentral.
CGGGUUAAUAUUUAAAUUCCCUGUUGUUGUUAUUAUUAUGAAGCUAGUAAAGGAAGCUGUCGUUUUAAUCUUUCUGAAAGUUUGUUCAUCUAAUGUUGGUAAGUUAAUCUGUAAGAACACAAUUUAACCUUCUCUUCUCCUCAUAUAAUUGUACAUCAUUUUCAUAGUACAACUAAAGUAUCAUCACAUGAACAGAAGAAUGAAAUUAACAUAUCGGAAAGGAACGUCAACAAAUUACUGCAUACAAUCAACCAAAAUAAGACCACAGUAUCUGAUUAUUUAUUUGGAGAUAAAAGAUCACCUAGUUAUCACACUGAUUAUUCAAAUAUCUCACAUAUAACAUACCUGGAAACAUGCAAACGUCUGUCCUAUGUUCAAAAAGGACGCAAAUACCGUGCCAUAGAUUACAGACCUAUGUCACAAAUGUAUAAUUUUUUUGAAUUAUGGGACUUAAAAUAAAUUAAUUAUUACCAUGGAUAGUCAAAUGAUAAAACACCUUGAUAGAACUCGAAUAAAUCAUAUGAUCUACAACAAUGAUUUCGAUCUUAACACUCUUGCUGUACACAAUUAAUAUCGUGCAUACAGGACAUGCCAAAAACAUUAUUAUCAGCAUACAAACUGGUGUCAUUGUGAUGGACUUUGCUAAAGAUUCUGGACAGGUCCCCCCAAAAUGUCUAUUGUUCUAAUCAAAGUACUGUGUAAAAAGUAAAAUAAAAAAUACUCCAAGGAAAAUUCAAAAUGGAAAGUCCCUUAUCCAAUGGCUAAAUAACAAUCACAAAAAUAUCAAAAGAAUAGAAGCCUUUGUCAUAUUCCUAACUUGAACAGGUAUGUACUACAAAAAUUUAGACACAGCAUAGUAUUUAUAAUUAUAAUCACUAUAAAAACAAACAACUAUGUUAACAAAUACAACACAUAAUGGUGUAUAGUGCAAUUAGGCGAUAUUUAGGGUAGAUUGUUAUUGGGUUGUAAGUAUUCCCGGAAAUCGUUUAGACCGUUUGUUUUUCCGUUUGAAUGGUUUUACACUAGUAAUUUUUGGGGCCCUUUAUAGCUAGCUGUUCGGUGUGAGUUAAGGCUCCAUGUUGAAGGCCGUACCUUGACCUAUAAUGGUUUACUUUUUUAAAUUGUUAUUUGGAUGGAGAGUUGUCUUGUUGGCACUCAUACCACAUCUUCCUAGAUCUAUGUAAAAAUUAGGAAUAUAGUUGAGUAACGUCGUAUUAUACAUGGUAUCUCAAUUUCGUUGGUAUGAUAAAUCAAAUAGUUUAUCAUAUUCAUUAUUACAUAAAUAGGUGAAGGGAGCGAACCUAGUUUCUCCCUUCUAUUUGACAUACAUGUAUUUGAUAUUUUAUGUAAACAUUUAGCAUGCUUUGGGUGUGUGUUUAAAUUGAAUUAGUUAAAUGUUUGGUCAAAACAGGUUUGCAAAUGAUUUGAAUAUCUAUUAAAGAAGAAGGAAAUAAGUUUAUCCAGAUGCUUUUCUCUUUUAUUUGUUUUAAGGAGGUGUGUCCUGUUUUCGUUUAUUUUUUCACAGAUUUGUGUGUUUCCAUAAUAAAAAAUUUUAUGUCAAAAAACUUUGUUCCAACACAUUUACAUUUAAAUUCAUAAGUUUGGCACAGACGUACAACGGAAUGAAAUGUAUGCUUACAAUUUACAAAGCUUGAAUACAGAGGCGUUCAUCUUUUUUUCGUUAAAGUGUGAAUUGGAGUGAUAAGGCUUCGACCUUAACUCGAUGUCGGAAAUGACACACCAACGGUUUUAUUUUUGAAAUCAAAAGAGUAUUUUUCGGUAAAUGAUAUUUGUUUUUUAAUUAUUAAUUUAACAGCUUUGUGACGUGUAUAAGAGAACAAACGUAUGUAUAACUUUUCAUUCUUUGUGUACAACUACUUCGAAAUCUGUUGAAUUAACAAAUCUGAAAAGAUUUUGAUAACAUGAGACAGGAUAUAAAUAUGGCAUAUGAGCCACCCUCCAUGGUAACAUGUGUCCUCGAUUCAUAAUUUUUCAAUCUUAACAUCUCUGUCUUACAGGAACAGCUCUUAUUGGAUCGCCAACUAAUCUUCAAUGUCCAUUAAGUUUGAUAGCAUAUUAUUGGUAUAAGAAAUUUAUUGGUGGUACUUAAUUGUUAAAAGAUGGCGACAAAUAUUACGGGACAUCAAAUAAAACUCUAAUAAUAAAAAACUUUGAGCUGGCAGAUGAAGGUUUUUAUAGAUGUGAAGGAUUUACCACUAGAGGUUCAUAUUCCAUGAGUCAUUUGAUACAGUUGUUUGUAGCAG